CCUACGGGAGGCAGCAGUGGGGAAUUUUGGUCAAUGGGCGCGAGCCUGAACCAGCCAAGUCGCGUGUCUGAUGACUGCCCUACGGUUUGUAAACUUCUUUUAUAAAGGAGUAAAGUGAGGCACGUGUGCCUAUUUGUGUGUACUUUAUGUAUAAGGUUCGGCUAACCCAGUGACAGCCGCCGCGGUAAUACGGAGGAUACGAGCGUUACCCGGAUUUUUUGGGUGUAAAGGGAGCGUAGACGGCAAUGCAAGUAUGGAGUGAAAGGCGGGGGCUCAACCCGCGAACUGCGCUGGAAACUGGACGGCUAGAGUGCAGGAGAGGUAAGUAGAAUUCCAAGUGUAGCGGUGAAAUGCGUAGAGAUGAGGAGGAAUACCAAUGGCGAAGGCAGCUUACUGGACUGAAACUGACGUUGAGGCUCGAAAGCGUGGGUAGCAAACAGGAUUAGAUACCCCUGUAGUC
Molecule: ribosomal RNA, 460 nt
Filed under: uncultured bacterium
Lineage: Bacteria
Description: partial 16S ribosomal RNA
Rfam family: Bacterial small subunit ribosomal RNA
Source: RNAcentral